This 512-nucleotide ribosomal RNA is filed under the name uncultured bacterium. Its description in RNAcentral is "partial 16S ribosomal RNA". It matches the Rfam family "Bacterial small subunit ribosomal RNA", at positions 28 to 523 of the family's 1533-position model. The record is from RNAcentral.
GACGAACGCUGGCGGCGUGCUUAACACAUGCAAGUCGAACGGAGAUUCAGCAAUGGAUCUUAGUGGCGAACGGGUGAGUAACGCGUAGGCAAUCUGCCUUCUAGAUGGGGACAACAUCCCGAAAGGGGUGCUAAUACCGAAUGUUGUACCGUUUCCGCAUGGAGAUGAUACUAAAGGUGGCCUCUGAAUAUGCUACCGCUAGAAGAUGAGCCUGCGUCUGAUUAGCUAGUUGGAGGGGUAACGGCCCACCAAGGCUUCGAUCAGUAGCCGGUCUGAGAGGGUGAACGGCCACACUGGGACUGAGACACGGCCCCGACUCCCACGGGAGGCAGCAGUGGGGAAUCUUCCGCAAUGGACGAAAGUCUGACGGAGCAACGCCGGGUGAGUGAAGAAGGUUUUCGGAUCGUAAAGCUCUUUCGUUAGGGACGAACGUGGUCUUUGUGAAUAAUGAGGAGUAAAGACGGUACCUAAAUAAGAAGCCACGGCUAACUACGUGCCAGCCGCCGCCGUAA